GUCUACAGCCAUACCACCCUGAACGUGCCCAAUCUCGUCUGGUCUCAGAAGCUAAAUAGCUAGGAUUACAGGUGUGAGCCACCGGCGCUGGGCUGUGGUAG
This 101-nucleotide ribosomal RNA is filed under the name Dipodomys ordii (Ord's kangaroo rat). Lineage: Eukaryota; Metazoa; Chordata; Mammalia; Rodentia; Heteromyidae. The record is from RNAcentral.